UAGUAACUGCGAGUGAAGCGGGAAAAGCUCAAAUUUAAAAUCUGGCGGCUUUGGUCGUCCGAGUUGUAUCCUAGAGAAGUGUUUUCCGCGUUGGACCGUGUAUAAGUCUCUUGGAACAGAGCGUCAUAGAGGGUGAGAAUCCCGUCUUUGACACGGACUACCAAUGCUUUGUGAUACACUCUCAAAGAGUCGAGUUGUUUGGGAAUGCAGCUCAAAAUGGGUGGUAAAUUCCAUCUAAAGCUAAAUAUUGGCGAGAGACCGAUAGCGAACAAGUACCGUGAGGGAAAGAUGAAAAGCACUUUGGAAAGAGAGUUAAACAGUACGUGAAAUUGCUGAAAGGGAAACGAUUGAAGUCAGUCGCGUUAGCUAGAACUCAACCAGGCUUGCUUGGCGUAUUUUCUAGUUAACGGGCCAGCAUCAGUUUUGACCGCAGGAAAAAGGCCAGGGAAAUGUGGCACCUUCGGGUGUGUUAUAGUCUUUGGUCAUAUACUGCGAUUGGGACUGAGGUUCGCAGCACGCGCAAGCUGUGCUUAGGAUGCUGGCGU
This 545-nucleotide ribosomal RNA is filed under the name Irpex laceratus. RNAcentral's name for it is "LSU rRNA". It matches the Rfam family "Eukaryotic large subunit ribosomal RNA", at positions 81 to 632 of the family's 3401-position model. Lineage: Eukaryota; Fungi; Basidiomycota; Agaricomycetes; Polyporales; Irpicaceae. The record is from RNAcentral.